Molecule: ribosomal RNA, 1019 nt
Filed under: Vibrio anguillarum
Lineage: Bacteria; Pseudomonadati; Pseudomonadota; Gammaproteobacteria; Vibrionales; Vibrionaceae
Description: bacterial SSU rRNA
Rfam family: Bacterial small subunit ribosomal RNA
Source: RNAcentral
GCGGGGGCGCAGCUACCGUGCGAGUCGAGCGGCAGCACAUGGGAAGUUGUUCCUUGGGUGGCGAGCGGCGGACGGGGGAGUAAUGCCUACGCAAAUUGCCCUGAUGUGGGGGAUAACCAUUGGAAACGAUGGCUAAUACCGCAUGAUGCCUACGGGCCAAAGAGGGGGACCUUCGGGCCUCUCGCGUCAGGAUAUGCCUAGGUGGGAUUAGCUAGUUGGUGAGGUAAUGGCUCACCAAGGCGACGAUCCCUAGCUGGUCUGAGAGGAUGAUCAGCCACACUGGAACUGAGACACGGUCCAGACUCCUACGGGAGGCAGCAGUGGGGAAUAUUGCACAAUGGGCGCAAGCCUGAUGCAGCCAUGCCGCGUGUAUGAAGAAGGCCUUCGGGUUGUAAAGUACUUUCAGUCGUGAGGAAGGUGGUGUUGUUAAUAGCAGCAUCAUUUGACGUUAGCGACAGAAGAAGCACCGGCUAACUCCGUGCCAGCAGCCGCGGUAAUACGGAGGGUGCGAGCGUUAAUCGGAAUUACUGGGCGUAAAGCGCAUGCAGGUGGUGGAUUAAGUCAGAUGUGAAAGCCCGGGGCUCAACCUCGGAACCGCAUUUGAAACUGGUUCACUAGAGUACUGUAGAGGGGGGUAGAAUUUCAGGUGUAGCGGUGAAAUGCGUAGAGAUCUGAAGGAAUACCGGUGGCGAAGGCGGCCCCCUGGACAGAUACUGACACUCAGAUGCGAAAGCGUGGGGAGCAAACAGGAUUAGAUACCCUGGUAGUCCACGCCGUAAACGAUGUCUACUUGAAGGUUGUGGCCUUGAGCCGUGCUUUCGGAGCUAACGCGUUAAGUAGACCGCCUGGGGAGUACGGUCCCAGGAUUAAAACUCAAAUGAAUUGACGGGGCCCGCACAAGGCGGUGGAGCAUGUGAUUAAUUCGAUGCACGCGAGAACUUACUACUUCUGACAUCUAGAAGCGCGGAGACCCAGUGUGCCUUCGGAACUCUGAGACAGGUGCUGCAUGCCUGUCUCAG